AGAACAUUUGGCUCGUUGUGCACACAGUGCAAAGUGCUCCAUCCUCCCUCCUCACAGUGAUUCAAAUGCUGCUAACAGUCUGUGAACCAGGAGGAAGAGGAAGUGAGAGAAGUGAGACUCAAAGAGGAGACAGAGGGCGACAUCAUCCAGUAGGCGGGGCUCUCCUUCUGCACUGUGUUCAACCAUUGUGUCAAUAAUAAGUGCUGCUGUGAAGAGAACAAUUCUCAGACUGAAUGUUGAACAUCAGCUAGUUUCUCCUGUUGAUUUAAACCUUGUUGUACAGAUGGAACAUUGGCUGUGGAUUAUUCUUGCUGCUCUUUUCUUUGAGUGUAAAGGAGAAGACAAAGUGAUCCAGGAACAAGGAGAUGUCAUUGCUGCUGAAGGAGACACAGUUACACUUGGAUGUAGAUAUGAAACCAGUGACCCAGGCCCGACUUUGUUCUGGUACAAACAGGAUGGAAACAACAGCCCCAAAUUCAUCCUGAGUCGUGUUAGUGGGGAUGAUGGAAACACAGCAGACGAGUUCAAGGAGAGAUUUUCAUCCACACUGGAUUCCAGCAUCAGAUCAGUUCCUCUGAAGAUCCAGAAGCUUCAGCUGUCUGACUCUGCUGUGUACUACUGUGCUCUGCAGCCCACAGUGACAGGAAACAGCAAAACUCUGUACAAAAACCUUUGGAGCAAAGACAACAGAAUACUCCACAACAUCCACUAGAGGGAGCCACACACUGUUAAACCUCUGAUUCUUGUGUCAUUGGACUGAUGACAAAGACAACAGAGAAAUGAAGCAGUAAAGAUCAGAGACAGAGACAGAGCUGCUGUGGAAGCACAAAACUGUUUGAUUGGCUGAGCUAUUAAACUGGCCCCGCCCACUGAAGUUGAGCUCAUCCAAUGACAUUAUUUGUUGGUCAUUGUGCUGCAGUGGAAGAACAUUGUUCAUGUGCUGUCUGUCUGGCUUUAAUAACUCCAAAGACAUGUUGCUGCACCUCUUUUUGCUUCUAUCUCACAUUAUAGGUGAGUUUAAGAACAGGGAUUAAAGUUUAGUUGAAGCUGCUGCAUUAAGCAGAUAUACAGACUGCAUUUCACUACUUUUCUUCUUUCUUUUUCCAGGACUAACAGCUGGAGACUCACUCACUCCUCAACAAACUGAAGUCACUAAAACAGA
This is a non-coding RNA of Haplochromis burtoni (Burton's mouthbrooder), 1162 nucleotides long. NCBI's taxonomy places the organism in Eukaryota, Metazoa, Chordata, Actinopteri, Cichliformes, Cichlidae. The record is from the annotation of a RefSeq genome assembly.